Molecule: ribosomal RNA, 481 nt
Filed under: uncultured bacterium
Lineage: Bacteria
Description: partial 16S ribosomal RNA
Rfam family: Bacterial small subunit ribosomal RNA
Source: RNAcentral
GAUGAACGCUGGCGGCGUGCUUAACACAUGCAAGUCGAACGAAGCAUUUAAGACAGAUUACUUCGGUUUGAAGUCUUUUAUGACUGAGUGGCGGACGGGUGAGUAACGCGUGGGUAACCUGCCUCAUACAGGGGGAUAGCAGCUGGAAACGGCUGGUAAUACCGCAUAAGCGCACAGUACCACAUGGUACAGUGUGAAAAACUCCGGUGGUAUGAGAUGGACCCGCGUCUGAUUAGCUUGUUGGCGGGGUAACGGCCCACCAAGGCGACGAUCAGUAGCCGACCUGAGAGGGUGACCGGCCACAGUGGGACUGAGACACGGCCCAGACUCCUACGGGAGGCAGCAGUGGGGAAUAUUGCACAAUGGAGGAAACUCUGAUGCAGCGACGCCGCGUGAGUGAAGAAGUAGUUCGCUAUGUAAAGCUCUAUCAGCAGGGAAGAUAGUGACGGUACCUGACUAAGAAGCUCCGGCUAAAUACGUG